UCAAAGGCAAUGAAGAGAAAAAGUAAAAUGCUUUGUUUUUUGACAGAGAGCUUCGGUAGCUGAAAAGAAGUAAAAACACUCAUUUGAACAAUGGUCUCUGAGCUUCGUACUGAACAUACUUUAGUAUUAGUAGGAUACGACGAGUUUUGGCACUCGUUAUCAAUGUCACAGUAUAAGAGUAACUUUGUUUACUCCGUACUUGCUGAGGCAAAUGGUGUGAGCCAUUUGCGAAAUAAGGUGGUAUCACGUGGAAUAUAAACCUCGUCCUUAAC
RNAcentral lists this non-coding RNA (272 nucleotides) under Heyndrickxia sporothermodurans. Its description in RNAcentral is "Bacillus sporothermodurans T-box sequence". It matches the Rfam family "T-box leader". Rfam says of the family: Uncharged tRNA acts as the effector for transcription antitermination of genes in the T-box leader family. T-boxes are found upstream of many aminoacyl-tRNA synthetase genes and some amino acid biosynthetic genes usually in Gram-positive bacteria. Lineage: Bacteria; Bacillati; Bacillota; Bacilli; Caryophanales; Bacillaceae. The record is from RNAcentral.